Molecule: ribosomal RNA, 1922 nt
Filed under: Triticum aestivum (bread wheat)
Lineage: Eukaryota; Viridiplantae; Streptophyta; Magnoliopsida; Poales; Poaceae
Description: partial small subunit ribosomal RNA
Source: RNAcentral
CUUUUUCGUUUCUGCGGCUGGGAGGCUUGAGCUGUCUAUCCCCAAGAACAGAAACACCAGUCAGUUUCAGGCUUGUGCGCCGCGCAGCGGCGACCACGAUGCUGAAGGCUCUUCCCGCGCGCUUCCUCGUCGUCUCGCCGGAGCCCGGGGGGCGGCGCCCGAGGCCUCGUCGACGAUCCCUACGGCCCAUUUCGUCGGCGCUGAUGACCAACCCCGCGUACUUCGAGGUGGGCAGAUUAUUGGGUAGCUAUGGCUUCAUGAACAUCACAAGCUAUUCAUCUUCUCAGUCUGGAGGGCUUCCAAACGAUAUUGGUAAUCAAGACCUUAGUCUUGGAUAUUCACCAGAAGAGAUUGAGCGAUUAAGAGUCCAAGAUGUUGGAGAAGGAGAAGUGAAAAUUAGACUCUAUGAGGGAAGAGUGGUGCAAGGUCCAUUGAAGGGCACACAGACUGUAUUUAAGGUAUACCCUGGAGCUAUUGCUGGUGCUUCUGAAGCUAAUUUGAUGGCAUUGAAUGAGCUGAGGACUCAUGCUUUUCUUCAGAGUAAUGCAAGGGAUAUCUGUGAGAACAUUCAGUUUCUGUUAGGAGCCUUUGAGACAGCUACUGGAGAGCAGUGGCUUGCUUUCCGCGACGAUGGGAGAUACAGUGCUGCAGACUAUGCAAAAAUAACCAGUGAAAGGCAGUUGAAGGAACGGCCUAAUUUUUGGAAUCCCUAUGAUCGUGCAUACAAAUUGGAACUGAGGAGAUAUUUUGUCCUUAGGCUGCUUAAUGGAGCUAUGUGUGGCCUUGUCCACAUGCACAAUCAUGAUAGACUGCACCAAAGCCUUGGCCCCUCUUCUGUUGUUCUCAACACCGUUGCAGAGAAAAAUGGAUACUAUUUACUUCCACAGCUCCGUGAUUUGGCAUUUUCUGUAGAUAUUGGGUAUUCGUCUGUGGGGGUUGGAGCGUUGUCAGAUGGUCUUUGGCGUCGAGCAUCUGCUGCUGGAGCAUCAACUCCUUUGGAGAAGCGAGCUUUUGGAGUAGCUGAUGACAUAUAUGGAGCUGGGUUGCUUAUUGCAUACAUGGCAUUUAUUCCGUUUUGUGAAGCAGGCAUUAUGGAUGGCAUUUCCUUGCAGAGGCUCUUGGAGAACACUUUCCGUCUUGACAUUUACGCUGCAAGAGAGUAUUGCCUGGAAGAUGAUAAAUUGUCGGAAGCUGUAAACUUUCUAGAUUUAGGUGAUGGUGCCGGCUGGGAGUUGCUGCAGGCAAUGCUUAAUCCGGAUUACCGUAAACGACCAAUUGCUGAGGCUGUACUGAACCAUAGGUUUAUUACAGGGGCUCUAUUAUAGAAGUAAUCAUCAGCUAGAUGCGCUUAUACAUUCGUACAAUAGAUGGUGGAGGCAGGUCCCAUUGUGUGAAAGAAAUGUUCAAAUCUAAAGACAUGUUAUGAUCAGGUACUUAAAUAGUGUACCUAAACUAGAGGAACAUUGUAAAUAUAUGCAUGAACAUCAUUUUUGGAAAUACUGCUAGACAUGUUUUUGAGUUAUCAGACUUAGCACGUUUUCUGGACAUGGAGGUAUUUCAGAGACACUAAGUCGAGGGAGGCUACAUGGCGUUCACCCGCUGGGCAAGCACUGAGCGGUUAGAUUCCAACAUCUCCACAAACAUUUGUCCGCACAUGCUCUCUCUAGCAUUUCAGAAAACCUUCGCUUUUUGGGAGAUCAUGCCAUCAGGUUUUAAAGUCCAGCCCUCCAACUUUCAGAAAUCCAAGUUUUCAUUUUUGGUAACCUUCAACUUUUAGAAUUCUAAACUUUCAGGAUUUUUUUUAGAUCAACUUUCGAAAUUCUAAAACUAUUGGAAGAUUCAACUUUCAAAAGUUAAGACUUUCAUGUCGACCAUUUUUGUCAUGUCUACCAGAACUCCCUGGAUAUUUAUGUUUGAUGAGC